UACGUAGGGACCAAGCGUUGUUCGGAUUUGCUGGGCGUAAAGGGCGCGUAGGCGGCGCGGUAAGUCACUUGUGAAAUCUCUGAGCUUAACUCAGAACGGCCAAGUGAUACUGCAGUGCUAGAGUGUGGAAGGGGCAAUCGGAAUUCUUGGUGUAGCGGUGAAAUGCGUAGAUAUCAAGAGGAACACCUGAGGUGAAGACGGGUUGCUGGGCCAACACUGACGCUGAGGCGCGAAAGCCAGGGGAGCAAACGGG
Molecule: ribosomal RNA, 253 nt
Filed under: uncultured bacterium
Lineage: Bacteria
Description: partial 16S ribosomal RNA
Rfam family: Bacterial small subunit ribosomal RNA
Source: RNAcentral